UUCCGGUUGAUCCUGCCGGACCUGACUGCUAUCGGAUUGAUACUAAGCCAUGCGAGUCUUUGCAGUAAUGCAAGGCAUACGGCUCAGUAACACGUAGUCAACUUACCCUAUGGACGAGGAUAAUCUCGGGAAACUGAGCAUAAUACUCGAUAGAUCAUAAUGCCUGGAAUGGUUUAUGGUUAAAAUGAUUCGUCGCCAUAGGAUGGGACUGCGGCCUAUCAGCUUGUUGGUGAGGUAAUGGCCCACCAAGGCGAUUACAGGUACGGGCUCUGAGAGGAGAAGCCCGGAGAUGGGUACUGAGACAAGGACCCAGGCCCUAUGGGGCGCAGCAGGCGAGAAAACUUUGCAAUGUGCGAAAGCACGACAAGGUUAAUCCGAGUGAUUUCUGCUAAAGAAAUCUUUUGCAAGUCAUAAAACCACUAGUGAAUAAGGGGUGGGCAAGUUCUGGUGUCAGCCGCCGCGGUAAAACCAGCACCUCAAGUGGUCAGGAGGAUUAUUGGGCCUAAAGCAUCCGUAGCCGGCUCUGUAAGUUUUCGGUUAAAUCCAUGUGCUCAACGCAUGGGCUGCCGAAAAUACUGCAUAGCUAGGGAGUGGGAGAGGUAGACGGUACUCGGUAGGAAGGGGUAAAAUCCUUUGAUCUAUCGAUGACCACCUGUGGCGAAGGCGGUCUACCAGAACACGUUCGACGGUGAGGGAUGAAAGCUGGGGGAGCAAACCGGAUUAGAUACCCGGGUAGUCCCAGCUGUAAACGAUGCAGACUCGAUGAUGCAUUGGCAUAUAGCCAGUGCAGUGUCGCAGGGAAGCCGUUAAGUCUGCCGCCUGGGAAGUACGUACGCAAGUAUGAAACUUAAAGGAAUUGGCGGGGGAGCACCACAAGGGGUGAAGCCUGCGGUUCAAUUGGAGUCAACGCCGGG
Molecule: ribosomal RNA, 914 nt
Filed under: uncultured marine archaeon
Lineage: Archaea
Also listed under: 1 other name
Description: bacterial SSU rRNA
Rfam family: Archaeal small subunit ribosomal RNA
Source: RNAcentral